CGUUCCCGGGUCUUGUACACACCGCCCGUCACACCAUGGGAGCGGGUUUUACCAGAAGUAGGUAGCUUAACCGUAAGGAGGGCGCUUACCACGGUAGGAUUCAUGACUGGGGUG
RNAcentral lists this ribosomal RNA (114 nucleotides) under uncultured bacterium. RNAcentral's name for it is "partial 16S ribosomal RNA". It matches the Rfam family "Bacterial small subunit ribosomal RNA", at positions 1369 to 1482 of the family's 1533-position model. The record is from RNAcentral.